Molecule: long non-coding RNA, 752 nt
Organism: Cynoglossus semilaevis (tongue sole)
Lineage: Eukaryota; Metazoa; Chordata; Actinopteri; Pleuronectiformes; Cynoglossidae
Exons: 3
Source: RefSeq, a predicted model, not a curated record
UUGUCUCCACAGAGGAUUACGUGGUAUUUUUUGACCGCCUGACGUUCAUCAGGAAGUGCGUGCAGGUCGCAGGUACCGAGCUGACCACUAGGACCAACAUCCUGCUGGUCCGACUGGACCUGCGGGUUCCUGGGAACGGGAUUGUGUUCACCUACAAGUCGGAGAAAAACACAAAGAGGAGCCACCACCGGGACUGUGACGUUCAGCUGUUUGCCCCUAGUGGUGACUUUGAAAACCCAACGACGUCCAACACCAAUCACACCUGUCGAGUGCUCGUCAACGCCCCCCCUUGGUGAAGACCAGGAUCCAGGCGCUGCACAUGGGACUGCCCUCCAACGCCACCACCCCCCCGUCCACCUUCAUCUCGCUCCGGGACACGGACGUCCUGAGGACAAACGUCUUCCGAGGACCGCGGCUCUUCGUGUGGCAGUCGUCUGGAAACAUGGCUGAGGUGGAGUUCCACGGAGAAUAACUGCGUUCCAAAGGAAGCUUCCGGGCCGAAUAUUCCUUCAUAAAUCUUUAACGUUAAAUUCACUCAGUAAAAAGGAGAUGUAACACAAGAGGGCGAGGCAGAGGGGGGAGAGCAGGGGAGAGUGGGGGAAAGUGGGGGGGUUCUAGUCCAUGACGUAAACCCAUUUACACUGACAUUCCUAGUGUAUUUUGUUUAUUCUUCCAAACGGUGAUGCGUUAGAUUAGCAAUUAUAUCUUAGCUAGCUCAAGAAUGACAACAAGUAAAUAAAUGGUGUGAUCGC